CUGAUCCCCAAGUCACCUGCUUUCCAGGUCUGUCCCCUGUGCCCUCUUCAAUGCUUUCAUAUUAUUUCUUCUGCCCACUUUGUAAUUCAUUGAGUUUUUUCUGCAGCUCUUCCUAAUCUACCUUUAAACUUUUCCAUUUUCUUUUCAUUUUGUUUUAUUCUAUUUUGAGACAGGCUCUCAGUAUAUAGCCCUAGCUGGCCUGUAACUCACAGAGAUUUCCCUGUCUCCUGUCUCUGCCUCCGAGUGCUGGGAUUAAAGAUUCUUGUUCCCUGCUGAGAACUCCCAAGUCUGGCACCUUUCUCUCCUUAAUAAUAUACCAUCUUCUAGAGAGGGUCCUUUCUCUCCCAUCAGCCACCUCGAGGCACUGAAAAUCCAG
Molecule: long non-coding RNA, 376 nt
Filed under: Cricetulus griseus (Chinese hamster)
Lineage: Eukaryota; Metazoa; Chordata; Mammalia; Rodentia; Cricetidae
Description: lncRNA (ENSCGRG00015042121.1)
Source: RNAcentral